This 407-nucleotide ribosomal RNA is filed under the name uncultured bacterium. Its description in RNAcentral is "partial 16S ribosomal RNA". It matches the Rfam family "Bacterial small subunit ribosomal RNA", at positions 28 to 526 of the family's 1533-position model. The record is from RNAcentral.
GACGAACGCUGGCGGCGUGCCUAAUACAUGCAAGUAGGACGCAGUUGCGAACGGGUGAGUAACGCGUAGGUAACUACCUAUUAGAGGGGGAUAACUAUUGGAAACGAUAGCUAAUACCGCAUACUAGUAGAUGGACCUGCGUUGUCUUAGCUAGUAGGUAGGGUAAUGGCCGACCUAGGCGACGAUACAUAGCCUACCUGAGAGGGUUAUCGGCCACACUGGGACUGAUGCAAGGCCCAGACUCGGACGGGAGGCAGCAGUAGGGAAUCUGCGGCAAUGGGGGGAACCCUUACCGAGCAACGCCGCGUGAGUGAAGAAGGGUUGCGGGUCGGAAAGGUCUGUUGUUAAGGAAGCGGUACUUAACCAGAAAGGGACGGCUAACUACGUGCCAGCCGCCGCGGUAAUAC